AUGUCUAAAAUGUUCCUGGUGGGGAAGUUGGGGGAGGCUAAUGCAAAAAAAAAGUUGAGAAGAUCACAAAACAACCAGAAAAUAUACAACAAAAUGGUAGGAGUAAGUCCCUACUUAUCAAUAACAAAAUUAUGUGAUAACAAUAACAAAAACAAAAAGAAUGUGAAUCUAAACUCCCCAUUUAAAAGACAUGGAGUGUCAGAAUGGUUUUUUUUUUAAAGGAUAUAACAAUCUUUUGCCUACAAGAAACACACUUUUGUGUACACAGACAUACAUAGACUCAAAAUAAAGGGAUAGAAAAAGAUCUUCCAUGCCAAUGGAAACCAAAAACAAGCAGGAGUGACUAUAUUUACAGCAGACAAAUUAGGUUUCAAAAUAAAAACUAUAAAAAGAGAGAAGAUCAUUAUAUAAUAUUAAAGGGGUCAAUUCAGUAAGAAGAUAUAACAAUUGUAAACACAUAUGCAUCCAAUGCUGGAGCACCCAGAUGUAUAAAGCAAACAUUGUUGGAGGUAAUGAGAGACCCCCAAAUACAUUAAAAUUUCAAGACUUCAACACCCCACUUUCAGCACUAGACAGAUCAUCCGGAGAGAAGAUCAACAGGACAGAUUAUCCAGACAGAAAAUCAACAAAGAAACAUUGGACUUUAUCUGCACUAUAGAACAAAUGGACCUAAUAGGUAUUUACAGAACACUUCAUCCAACAGCUACAGAAUACAUUCCUCUCCUUAGCACGUGGAUCAUCCUCAAGAACAGACCACAUGUGGCCAGGUGUGGUAGCUCACGCCUGUAAUCCCAGCACUUUGGGAGGCCAGGGCAGGUGGAUCACCUGAGGUCAGGAGUUUGAGACCAACCUGGUCAACAUGGUGAAACCCUGUCUCUACAAAAAAUACAAAAAUUAGCUAGGUGUGGUAGUGGGUGCCUGUAAUCCCAGCUACUCAGGAGGCUGAGGCAGGAGAAUCACUUGAACCCAGGGGGUGGAGGUUGCAGUAAGCUGAGAUCGCUCCACGGCACUCCAGCCUGGGCAGCAAGAGUAAAACUCUGUCUCAAAAAAAAAAAAAAAAAAUUAGGCCACAAAACAAAUCUUAAAACAUUCCAUAAAACUGAAAUUAUAUCAUGUAUCUUCCCUGACCACAAUAAAAUAAAACUAGAAAGCAAAAGCAAAAGGAAAUUUGGAAACUAUACAAACACAUGGAAAAUAAACAACAUGCUCCUGAAUGACCAGUGGGUCAACGAAGAGAUUAAAAACAAAAUUUUAAAAUUUCCAGAAACAAAAAUAAUGUAAACCCAAUAUACCAAACCUAUGUGAUAUAGUGAAAGCAGUACUAAGAGAGAAUACAGCUAAAAGUGAAGUGCCUACAUCAAAAAGGCAAAACUUAAACAACCUAAUGAUACAUCUUAAACAAAUAGAAAAGCAACAGCAAGCCAAACCCAAAUAGAAGAAAAUAAAUAAAUAAUAAACAUCAUAGCAUAAAUAAGUGGAAUUGAAAUGAAUACAAAAGAUCAAUGAAACAAAAAGUUGGUUUUUAAAAGUCAAACAAAACUGACAAACCUUUAGCCAGACUAACUUAGAUAAAAAGUGACAAGACACAAAUAAAUAAAAUUAGAGAUAAAAAAGGAGAAAUUACAACUGAUACUGCAGAAAUUAAAAGGAUCAUUAGAGGCCACAAUGAGCAACUAUAUGCCAACAAACUGGAAGACCUACAAGAAAUGGAUAAAUUCCUAUACACAUACAACUUACCAAGAUUAAAACAUGAAGAAAUCCAAAAUCUGUGAACAGACCAGUAACACGUAAUAAGAUCGAAGCUACUAUAAAAACUCUCCAAGCAAAGAAAAGCUCAGGACCAAUAGUUUCACUGCUGAUUUUAACAUUUAAAGGAAAAUUAAUACCAACUCUACUCAAACUAAUCCAAAAAGUAGACAUGGAGGGAAUACUUUCAAACUCGUUCUAUGAGACCAAUGUUACUCUGAUACCAAAACCAAAUAAAGGCACAUAAAAAAAAGGUAAACUAUAGGCCAUUAUCUCUGAUGAACACUGAUGCAAAAAUCCUCAACAAAAUACUAGUAAACCAAAUGCAACAACACAUUAAAAAAUCAUUCAUCAUGACCAAGGAGUAUUUAUUCCAGGAAUGCAAGAAUGGUUCAACAUCUGCAAAUCAAUCAUCGUGAUAUAUCAACAGAAUGAAGGACAAAAACCAUAUGACCAUUUCAACUGAUGCACAAAGAGCAUUUGAUAAAAAUAAAAACCUCUCAUGCUAAAACCCCUCAAAAAAUUGAGUAUAGAAAGAACAUACCUCAACAUAAUGAAAGCCAUAUAUGACAGACCCACAGCUAGUAUCACACUGAAUAGGGAAUAUGAAAUAGGAAAUAGGGAAAAACUGAAAACCUUGAAUAUCUGGAACCUGACAAGGUUGUCCACUUUCACCACUGUUAUUCAACAUAGUACUGGAAGUCCAAGCUAGAGCAAUCAGACAAGAGAAAGAAACAAAGGACAUCCAAAUUGGAAAGAAGUGAGUAAAACCAUCCUUAUUUACAGGUGCCAUGAUUUUAUAUUGGGAAAAACUUAAAGACUACACACACACACACACACACACACACACACACACACACACACACACACACACAAAACUAUUAGAACUCAUAAACAAAUUCGGUAAAGUUGCAGGAUACAAAAUCAAUAGACAAAAAUAACUACCAUUUCUAUAUAUCAAGAGCAAACACUAUGAAAAAGAAAUUAUGAAGGUAAACCCAGCACUUUGGGAGGCAAAGGUGGGAGGCCAGGAGCCCACAGACCAGCCUGGGCAACACAACAAGACUCUGUCUCUACAAAAAAAUAUAAAAAAUUAGCCAGGUAGUGGAGUGGUAUGAACCUGUAGUCCUACCUACUCAGGAGGCUGAGGUGGGAGGAUCACUUGAGCCCAGGAGGUUGAGGCUGUAGUGAGCUGUGAUCACACUACUGCAUUCUAGCCUAGGCAACAGAUCCUGCCUCAAAAAAAAAAAAAGGAUAAUUUCUACUUAAGAUUUUAUUGACAUCAGUAGUCCUGAGCACUAGUCCUGUUAGGAUUAAAAUCUUGAUCCACUUCUACCACUAACAAGUAACUUAACAUGGAGCCUCAAUAAGUUGCUUAAUAUCAAGGUAUCUCAGAUUUUUUUUUUUUUUAAUUUGGGAUUGCUCUAAGGAGUCUAUAAAUGUGAGUAUUCUAUCAAAAUGUACCACAUCAUUAGUGCAAUUUUAAAUAUUAAAAGGCAGAUGUCAAACCAAAAAGCAAAUUAAAGAGAACCCAACAUACAAAUUAUUAGCAUGUAGGGAAGUAUAUAGCUAUGCAAAUAACACACUUGGUUAAUAUAAUUUUCUAAUUGGGACUUCUGAUGUGUGUAUAUAAGUAAGCUAACUUUAUUCUUCAACUACAAGUACAGAACCACACCCUUUCAAACUGAAUCAUGUACAUGGCUGUAUUUUAGCCAAAACAUAGACAACAUGCAGCAUUUUCAUCUAACGCUUAGCAGACCUACUCUACCACUGAACCAUACAAAAUAUUAUCUGUUUUUAUAUCUACAUGGGGAGCUCCCUAUAUUUACAGAUAAUGGAAUGCAGACUGUACCCUGGAACUGAUUAAAAACAUUCAAAAAAUUUUUUUAUUUUUUUUAUUAUACUUUAAGUUCUAGGGUACAUAGCACAAUGCAGGUUUGUUACAUAUGGUAUACAUGU
This 3705-nucleotide long non-coding RNA is filed under the name Papio anubis (olive baboon). RNAcentral's name for it is "lncRNA (ENSPANG00000042406.1)". Lineage: Eukaryota; Metazoa; Chordata; Mammalia; Primates; Cercopithecidae. The record is from RNAcentral.